GGUAAUUAGUUUAAUAAAAAUAAAUGAUUUCGACUCAUUAGAUUAUAACUUAUAAUUAUAAUUACCA
RNAcentral lists this transfer RNA (67 nucleotides) under Reithrodontomys megalotis (western harvest mouse). RNAcentral describes it as "tRNA-Arg". It matches the Rfam family "tRNA". From Rfam's summary of the family: Transfer RNA (tRNA) molecules are approximately 80 nucleotides in length. Lineage: Eukaryota; Metazoa; Chordata; Mammalia; Rodentia; Cricetidae. The record is from RNAcentral.